Molecule: ribosomal RNA, 253 nt
Filed under: uncultured bacterium
Lineage: Bacteria
Description: partial 16S ribosomal RNA
Rfam family: Bacterial small subunit ribosomal RNA
Source: RNAcentral
UACGAAGGGGGCUAGCGUUGCUCGGAAUUACUGGGCGUAAAGGGCGCGUAGGCGGAUGUUUAAGUCGGGGGUGAAAGCCCAGGGCUCAACCCUGGAACUGCCUUCGAUACUGGACAUCUUGAGUACGGGAGAGGUGAGUGGAACUCCGAGUGUAGAGGUGAAAUUCGUAGAUAUUCGGAAGAACACCAGUGGCGAAGGCGACUCACUGGCCCGUUACUGACGCUGAGGCGCGAAAGCGUGGGGAGCAAACAGG